CUACGGAAGAUGCGAGCGUUAUCCGGAUUUAUUGGGUUUAAAGGGAGCGUAGGCGGAUUGCUAAGUCUGCGGUAAAAUGUCGAUGCUCAACGUCGGCCUGCCGUGGAGACUGGCGAUCUUGAAUGUGCACAAGGAAGGUGGAAUUCGUGGUGUAGCGGUGAAAUGCUUAGAUAUCACGAAGAACUCCGAUUGCGAAGGCAUCCUUCUGAGGCAUGAUUGACGCUGAGGCUCGAAAGCGCGGGUAUCAAACAGGAUUAGAUACCCUGGUAGUCCGCGCCGUAAACGAUGAGUGCCCGUCGUUGGUGAUAUACGAUCAGCGACCAAGCGAAAGCAUUAAGCACUCCACCUGGGGAGUACGCCGGCAACGGUGAAACUCAAAUGAAUUGGCGGGG
This 392-nucleotide ribosomal RNA is filed under the name uncultured bacterium. Its description in RNAcentral is "partial 16S ribosomal RNA". It matches the Rfam family "Bacterial small subunit ribosomal RNA", at positions 523 to 918 of the family's 1533-position model. The record is from RNAcentral.